This 664-nucleotide ribosomal RNA is filed under the name uncultured euryarchaeote. RNAcentral's name for it is "bacterial SSU rRNA". It matches the Rfam family "Archaeal small subunit ribosomal RNA", at positions 581 to 1263 of the family's 1478-position model. The record is from RNAcentral. Lineage: Archaea; Methanobacteriati; Methanobacteriota.
AUACUGCAGAGCUAGAGACCGGGAGAGGUAAAGAGUACAAAUGGUGUACCAGUAAAAUGGGUUGAUCCUAUUUGGACUAUCAACAGCGAAGGCACUUUACCAGAACGGAUCUGACAGUGAGGGAUGAAAGCUAGGGGCGCAAAACGGAUUAGAUACCCGUGUAGUCCUAGCAGUAAACACUGCACACUAAACAUCGGGGCCUCUUCGGGAGGUCUCGGUGCUGUAGCGAAGGCGAAGAGUGUGCUACCUGGGAAGUAUAGUCGCAAGACCGAAACUUAAAGGAAUAGGCGGGGGAGUACUACAACGGGUGACGCGUGCGGUUCAAUUAGAUUUUACACCGAGAACCUCACCAGGACCGACAGCAGGAUGAAGGUCAGUCUAAAGGGCUUACCUGACACGCUGAGAGGAGAUGCAUGGCCGACGUCAGCUUGUGCUGUGAGGUGACCUGUUAAAUCAGGUUACAGGCGAGACCUGCGUGUAUAUUUACUAAGUGUACAAUAUACAGACUGCCUUGGUAACAAGGAGGAAGGUGCGGGCUACGUUAGGUGAGUACGUCCCGAAUGCCCUGGGCUACACGCGCGCGGCAAUGCUGCAUUCAGUGGGCUGCGACACCGAAAGGUGAAGCUAAUCUCAUAAACUGCAGCCUAGUUCAGAUUGAGGGUUG